CCUACGGGUGGCAGCAGUAGGGAAUCUUUCACAAUGGGCGAAAGCCUGAUGCAGCAACGCCGCGUGCAGGAUGAAGGCCUUCGGGUUGUAAACUGCUUUUAUAAGCGGGAAAGACGAUGGUAACUUAUGAAUAAGGAGCGGCUAACUACGUGCCAGCAGCCGCGGUCAUACGUAGGAGCCGAGCAUUAUCCGGAGUGACUGGGUGUAAAGAGUUGCGUAGGUGGCAUAAGAUGUAGCUAGUUGAAACUGGUGGGUCAACCAUUCAGACUAUUAGCUAUACUGUUAAGCUCGAGACCGUUAGGGGUAACUGGAAUUUCUAGUGUAGGAGUGAAAUCCGGAGAUAUUAGAAGGAACACCAAUAGCGUAGGCAGGUUACUGGGACGGUUCUGACGCUAAGGCACGAAAGCGUAGGGAGCAAACGGGAUUAGAUACCCGGGUAGUC
RNAcentral lists this ribosomal RNA (442 nucleotides) under uncultured bacterium. RNAcentral describes it as "partial 16S ribosomal RNA". It matches the Rfam family "Bacterial small subunit ribosomal RNA", at positions 338 to 795 of the family's 1533-position model. The record is from RNAcentral.